RNAcentral lists this ribosomal RNA (389 nucleotides) under uncultured bacterium. RNAcentral's name for it is "bacterial SSU rRNA". It matches the Rfam family "Bacterial small subunit ribosomal RNA", at positions 30 to 417 of the family's 1533-position model. The record is from RNAcentral.
AUUGAACGCUGGCGGCAUGCCUUACACAUGCAAGUCGAACGGCAGCACGGGAGCUUGCUCCUGGUGGCGAGUGGCGAACGGGUGAGUAAUACAUCGGAACGUGCCCAAUCGUGGGGGAUAACGUAGCGAAAGUUACGCUAAUACCGCAUACGAUCUACGGUUGAAAGCGGCGGACCGCAAGGCGUCGCGCGAUUGGAUGAACCGAUGUCCGAUUAGCUAGUUGGCGGGGUAAAGGCCCACCAAGGCGACGAUCGGUAGCUGGUCUGAGAGGACGACCAGCCACACUGGAACUGAGACACGGUCCAGACUCCUACGGGAGGCAGCAGUGGGGAAUUUUGGACAAUGGGCGCAAGCCUGGUCCAGCCAUGCCGCGUGAGUGAAGAAGGCCU